RNAcentral lists this ribosomal RNA (332 nucleotides) under uncultured bacterium. RNAcentral's name for it is "bacterial SSU rRNA". It matches the Rfam family "Bacterial small subunit ribosomal RNA", at positions 568 to 898 of the family's 1533-position model. The record is from RNAcentral.
UGCGUAGGCGGUGCGGUAAGUCUGUUGUGAAAUCUCCGGGCUCAACUCGGAGUCUGCAACGGAAACUGCCGUGCUGGAGUAUGGGAGAGGUGAGUGGAAUUCCCGGUGUAGCGGUGAAAUGCGUAGAUAUCGGGAGGAAGACCUGUGGCGAAAGCGGCUCACUGGACCAUUACUGACGCUGAUGCACGAAAGCUAGGGGAGCAAACAGGAUUAGAUACCCUGGUAGUCCUAGCCCUAAACGAUGAUCGCUUGGUGUGACAGGUACCCAAUCCUGUUGUGCCGGAGCUAACGCGUUAAGCGAUCCGCCUGGGGAGUACGGUCGCAAGGCUGAA